UCUGGAGCAGAAUCUAACAUAAGUAUAGUUAUGAAAGUAACUUACUUAUUAUAAGGGCAUAGGAACGAUGUGUACGAUUACGUACAUACAUGAAUUAAACAUUUGCCAAGAUCCCAAAUGCGUUUAGGUUGUAGUAAGUAUAGUGGAUGAACAACUUGAAAGAGGUAAGAGUAGAAUGGUCUAGUUUGAAUGAGAAAGGUUUCGGGGACGAAACCUCUUUUAAGGGGGGUAGACUUGUAACGCCCCAAAAUUAUGCAAAUUAAUUAUGUUACUUAAGAUGUCUAGUCAUGUAUUAUUUUACCUAGUUAAGUAUGUAUAUGUUAGUAACUUGAUUAGAAGGAAGGUUAUAUGACAAAUAAAAUAUCUAAGUAAAUAGGAGGACUAAACUUGUUAAAAGGUUGAAAGUUUAAUAAAUAAAAGAAAAAAAUAAAAAACACACACCCUGGUGUGAUGGCGUGGAUCGAUCAGAGCAAAGGGGGGAGAAGACAAACCCUAACUUCAUGAAAUUCUCAAGAAUUGAAAGAGAUUAGGAGCCCAAACUAAUGCAUGAACUCGAAACCUCAAUCAUCUAAGCUUGUACAACAAGCGGAACGUGUCAAGGAGAGGUCAAGCAUAGGAGGAUAACGGGUCAAGAUAAGGCAAGAUGACAAAUACACUUAUUGGAGUACU
This 669-nucleotide long non-coding RNA is filed under the name Helianthus annuus (common sunflower). Its description in RNAcentral is "sRNA HanXRQr2_Chr03g0113351". Lineage: Eukaryota; Viridiplantae; Streptophyta; Magnoliopsida; Asterales; Asteraceae. The record is from RNAcentral.